CGAAUCUUCCGCAAUGCGCGAAAGCGUGACGGGGUAAUGCCGCGUGCAGGAUGAAGCCCUUCGGGGUGUAAACUGCUGUCAGGGGCUAGGAAUUUCAUGACCAGCCCCAAAGGAAGAGCCGGCUAACUCUGUGCCAGCAGCCGCGGUAAUACAGAGGGCUCGAGCGUUAAUCGGAAUCACUGGGCUUAAAGCGUGCGUAGGCGGAUCUUCAGGCUUGUUGUGAAAUCCCACGGCUCAACCGUGGAAUUGCGAUGAGAACCGGAGAUCUUGAGUCAGGUAGAGGCGGGUGGAACGAUAGGUGGAGCGGUGAAAUGCGUAGAUAUCUAUCGGAACGCCAAAGGAGAAGUCAGCCCGCUGGGCCUGUUCUGACGCUGAGGCACGAAAGCGUGGGUAGCAAACGGGAUUAGAUACCCCGGUAGUCCACGCCGUAAACGAUGCGCACUAGACUGAGGGAGCUUGACGCUUUCUCAGUCGUAGCAAAAGUGCUAAGUGCGCCGCCUGGGGAGUACGGUCGCAAGAUUAAAACUCAAAGGAAUUGACGG
This 542-nucleotide ribosomal RNA is filed under the name uncultured bacterium. RNAcentral describes it as "bacterial SSU rRNA". It matches the Rfam family "Bacterial small subunit ribosomal RNA", at positions 358 to 916 of the family's 1533-position model. The record is from RNAcentral.